RNAcentral lists this ribosomal RNA (567 nucleotides) under uncultured bacterium. RNAcentral describes it as "bacterial SSU rRNA". It matches the Rfam family "Bacterial small subunit ribosomal RNA", at positions 355 to 914 of the family's 1533-position model. The record is from RNAcentral.
UGGGGAAUAUUGGACAAUGGGCGCAAGCCUGAUCCAGCCAUACCGCGUGGGUGAAGAAGGCCUUCGGGUUGUAAAGCCCUUUUGUUGGGAAAGAAAUCCAGCUGGUUAAUACCCGGUUGGGAUGACGGUACCCAAAGAAUAAGCACCGGCUAACUUCGUGCCAGCAGCCGCGGUAAUACGAAGGGUGCAAGCGUUACUCGGAAUUACUGGGCGUAAAGCGUGCGUAGGUGGUCGUUUAAGUCCGUUGUGAAAGCCCUGGGCUCAACCUGGGAACUGCAGUGGAUACUGGACGACUAGAGUGUGGUAGAGGGUAGCGGAAUUCCUGGUGUAGCAGUGAAAUGCGUAGAGAUCAGGAGGAACAUCCAUGGCGAAGGCAGCUACCUGGACCAACACUGACACUGAGGCACGAAAGCGUGGGGAGCAAACAGGAUUAGAUACCCUGGUAGUCCACGCCCUAAACGAUGCGAACUGGAUGUUGGGUGCAAUUUGGCACGCAGUAUCGAAGCUAACGCGUUAAGUUCGCCGCCUGGGAGUACGGUCGCAAGACUGAAACUCAAAUGAAUUGAC